Molecule: long non-coding RNA, 321 nt
Organism: Daphnia magna
Lineage: Eukaryota; Metazoa; Arthropoda; Branchiopoda; Diplostraca; Daphniidae
Exons: 2
Source: RefSeq, a predicted model, not a curated record
AACAGUUUUGACAUUGUUACGGCUGCUAGUCCUCGUUCUUCACUCUAAAAUCUGUUGCAAAGGGCACAAUACCUGUAGAGUUUUGUGACAAUUGAAAUGUUAAACAAUUUUUAACGAAGAAAGCUUUCUACCAGACGUACAGUAUAUCUGACCCACGAUGACCUACAAAAAAAAAGGAGUGUGGAAUUCAAUCUACAUUACCAUAAUGCAAAGGCAAUGUGACAGACGCAGUAAUGAAACGGUGGACGCGUUUUACAACUUUCGAUUUUGUUUAUUCGAUCUAACUUUGAGAUUAAAAUAAAUACUUUCGAUUUCUUCCUU